RNAcentral lists this long non-coding RNA (261 nucleotides) under Lathyrus oleraceus (garden pea). RNAcentral's name for it is "Pisum sativum (pea) long non-coding RNA (PSAT_LNC038922)". The record is from RNAcentral. Lineage: Eukaryota; Viridiplantae; Streptophyta; Magnoliopsida; Fabales; Fabaceae.
CUCCUUCAGAUAAAGGAUAUUCCUAUCAUCAUCUUUCAGGUUGGUAAUUUGAGUUUUCCCUCUUUUGGACUUCAGGGAGGCAUGAAAGUAGGCAUUGUUGAAAGCAUAUAUAGAAGUUAGAGAAGUUUUUAAAACUCCAUUUAAAUGGUAUAUACUACAGUGGAUAAAUUGAGGAGAGCUCUCAUGGGUGGUCACCUUGACUUUGGUUUCAUCACAUAAAAUUCAAAUCCUACCAUUACUAUGAUCAGUAUAAUUGUCAAU